Molecule: long non-coding RNA, 232 nt
Filed under: Phoenix dactylifera (date palm)
Lineage: Eukaryota; Viridiplantae; Streptophyta; Magnoliopsida; Arecales; Arecaceae
Description: long non-coding RNA (PDAC_LNC010149)
Source: RNAcentral
GCUACAUGAGCUAAAUAGAAACUCCAAAUGUUCCUAGCCAACCUAGGUAAGGUCAAAUCAAUAGUACUGGUAACCUCUGUAGCAUGAAGUAAAGCCCUAUCUACUAUUGUCUUUGGGUGCGCACUUCUGCCUUCAAAGAUCCGAGCAUUUCUAUCCAGCCAUAUGUGAUGGGCCACAUAGGUAUAUCUGAUGCCCCACUUCAUAGUGCUAGGUCUUCGCCGGGACUCCAUCA